GGUUGACCUCGGAUCAGGUAGGAAUACCCGCUGAA
Molecule: ribosomal RNA, 35 nt
Filed under: Colletotrichum fioriniae
Lineage: Eukaryota; Fungi; Ascomycota; Sordariomycetes; Glomerellales; Glomerellaceae
Also listed under: 2 other names
Description: partial 28S ribosomal RNA
Source: RNAcentral